Molecule: unclassified non-coding RNA, 1728 nt
Filed under: Leishmania donovani
Lineage: Eukaryota; Euglenozoa; Kinetoplastea; Trypanosomatida; Trypanosomatidae
Description: gene:LdHU3.35.7060(CDS-product:isopentenyl-diphos phate_delta-isomerase_(type_II)_putative)
Source: RNAcentral
AAACUCAUAUUAUCUGGACCGUGCGCGUGGCGCUCUCUCCCCCCUCCUCCUCACAGAGGCACAAGACGCUCACAACUUUGCCAUGUUACACCGCUUGCUCUGCAGUCCAACAGUCAAUUCCUCGUUUGCUCGCCUCUUUCGUUUAUUUUUUUUUCACCUCCUUCCCCAGCGGUUGGCAUCUUGGCACGCAGUGAUGCGCUCUCGUGAUUGCACGGUUGACCGCGAGGCGGCGGUGCAGAAGCGCAAGAAGGACCACAUCGACAUUUGCUUGCAUAAGGACGUCGAGCCGCACAAGAGGCGCACCUCCAUCUGGAACAAGUACACGCUACCCUACAAGGCACUUCCCGAAGUUGAUCUGCAGAAAAUCGACACGUCCUGCGAGUUUAUGGGCAAGCGCAUAUCCUUUCCCUUCUUCAUUUCCUCCAUGACCGGCGGUGAGGCGCACGGCCGCGUCAUCAACGAGAACCUGGCAAAGGCGUGCGAGGCCGAGAAGAUCCCGUUCGGGCUUGGUAGCAUGCGCAUCAUCAACCGCUAUGCGUCGGCGGUGCACACCUUUAACGUGAAGGAGUUCUGUCCUUCGGUUCCGAUGCUAGCCAAUAUCGGCCUGGUGCAGCUGAACUACGGUUUUGGCCCAAAGGAGGUAAACAACCUCGUGGACUCGGUGCGCGCCGACGGUCUGUGCAUCCACCUGAACCAUACGCAAGAAGUUUGCCAGCCGGAGGGCGACACAAACUUCGAGGGCCUGAUUGAGAAGCUGCGCCAGCUGUUGCCGCUCAUCAAGGUACCGGUACUCGUGAAAGGUGUCGGUCACGGCAUUGAUUACGAAUCGAUGGUGGCCAUCAAGGCCAGCGGCGUCAAGUACGUGGACGUUUCAGGAUGCGGCGGCACGUCAUGGGCCUGGAUCGAGGGUCGCCGGCAGCCAUACAAGGUGGAGGAAGAGAACAUUGGUUACCUCUUUCGCGACAUUGGUGUGCCUACCGAUGUCUGCCUGCGUGAGAGCGCGCCGCUGACCGUCAACGGCGACCUCCACCUCAUCGCCGGCGGCGGUAUCCGCAACGGCAUGGACGUCGCCAAGGCCCUCAUGAUGGGUGCCGAGUACGCCACGGCGGCGAUGCCGUUUCUUGCGGCUGCCCUGGAAAGCUCAGAGGCGGUCCGUGCAGUGAUUCAGCGUAUGCGCCAGGAGCUGCGUGUCUCCAUGUUUACCUGCGGUGCCCGCAAUAUUGGGGACCUUCGGCGCAUGAAGGUGAUUGAGCUCGGUCACCUUUAGCCCUUUUCGUCGCUCUUUUGUGUGUGCGUGCGUCUUCAGCGCAGCCCCUCGUCUCACGCUCUCAUCGUCGUCCCCUCUUCCUCCUCCUCUCCAUUCCCUCGAUGCCCCUUUUUUUUUCGUUCAUACGUAUAGGCGACUGCUCAGGGCAUCUAGAGACAAAACGGAAAAAAGAUUUGAAAGCUGGCUGAAAUGAACUAACGCUAAGAAAAACUCUCUCUCUCUCCGUUCCGCGGGUGCACACCUGCGGUGUGAAAGAAUGAGAGCUCGUGCUGUUGCACUACUCAGUACAGCCUCGGGGUUAUCAUCCGAUAUCGUCCUCUCGCCGCCCAACGCCACGGGCCAGCGAUGACCUCUGGUGAAGGUCACGCACGUACGUAGCGCUGUCUUUUUUUUUUUCAAUGUGUUUUGUUUUUCGAAAGGCGACAGCGAAAAGGUGAUCGUGACCCUAACACAUCAACUCG